GACGAACGCUGGCGGCGUGCUUAACACAUGCCAGUCGAACGGAAAGGCCCUGCUUUUGUGGGGUGCUCGAGUGGCGAACGGGUGAGUAUCACGUGAGUAACCUGCCCUUGACUUUGGGAUAACUUCAGGAAACUGGGGCUAAUACCGGAUAGGAGCUCCUGCUGCAUGGUGGGGGUUGGAAAGUUUCGGCGGUUGGGGAUGGACUCGCGGCUUAUCAGCUUGUUGGUGGGGUAGUGGCUUACCAAGGCUUUGACGGGUAGCGGGCCUGAGAGGGUGACCGGCCACAUUGGGACUGAGAUACGGCCCAGACUCCUACGGGAGGCAGCAGUGGGGAAUAUUGCACAAUGGGCGGAAGCCUGAUGCAGCAACGCCGCGUGCGGGAUGACGGCCUUCGGGUUGUAAACCGCUUUCGCCUGUGACGAAGCGUGAGUGACGGUAAUGGGUAAAGAAGCACCGGCUAACUACGUG
Molecule: ribosomal RNA, 468 nt
Filed under: uncultured bacterium
Lineage: Bacteria
Description: partial 16S ribosomal RNA
Rfam family: Bacterial small subunit ribosomal RNA
Source: RNAcentral